This 496-nucleotide ribosomal RNA is filed under the name uncultured bacterium. RNAcentral describes it as "partial 16S ribosomal RNA". It matches the Rfam family "Bacterial small subunit ribosomal RNA", at positions 28 to 507 of the family's 1533-position model. The record is from RNAcentral.
GAUGAACGCUGGCGGCGUGCCUAAUACAUGCAAGUCGAGCGAACGGACGAGAAGCUUGCUUCUCUGAUGUUAGCGGCGGACGGGUGAGUAACACGUGGAUAACCUACCUAUAAGACUGGGAUAACUUCGGGAAACCGGAGCUAAUACCGGAUAAUAUUUUGAACCGCAUGGUUCAAAAGUGAAAGACGGUCUUGCUGUCACUUAUAGAUGGAUCCGCGCUGCAUUAGCUAGUUGGUAAGGUAACGGCUUACCAAGGCAACGAUGCAUAGCCGACCUGAGAGGGUGAUCGGCCACACUGGAACUGAGACACGGUCCAGACUCCUACGGGAGGCAGCAGUAGGGAAUCUUCCGCAAUGGGCGAAAGCCUGACGGAGCAACGCCGCGUGAGUGAUGAAGGUCUUCGGUCGUAAAACUCUGUUAUUAGGGAAGAACAUAUGUGUAAGUAACUGUGCACAUCUUGACGGUACCUAAUCAGAAAGCCACGGCUAACUACGUG